AGCAGCCGCGGUAAUUCCAGCUCCAAUAGCGUAUAUUAAAGUUGUUGCAGUUAAAAGCUCGUAGUUGAAUUUCGGGAUCAAUAUGUUGGUCGUGCCUUGGUACGUACUGGCAUUAUCGAUUCCUACCUUCUGAAGAACCUCGAUGUCAUUAAUUUGGUGUCUUGGGGAAUCAGGACUGUUACUUUGAAAAAAUUAGAGUGUUUAAAGCAGGCUCGCGCUUGAAUACAUUAGCAUGGAAUAAUGAAAUAGGACGUUUGAUUCUAUUUUGUUGGUUCUAGGAUCGACGUAAUGAUUAAUAGGGAUAGUUGGGGGCAUUAGUAUUCAAUUGUCAGAGGUGAAAUUCUUGGAUUUAUUGAAGACUAACUACUGCGAAAGCAUUUUGCCAAGGAUGUUUUCAUUAAUCAAGAACGAAAGUUAGGGGAUCGAAGACGAUCAGAUACCGUCGUAGUCUUAACCAUAAACUAUGCCGACUAGGGAUCGGAUGAUGUUAAUUUUUUCAAUGACUCAUUCGGCGCCUUAC
This 520-nucleotide ribosomal RNA is filed under the name uncultured Glomus. Its description in RNAcentral is "SSU rRNA". It matches the Rfam family "Eukaryotic small subunit ribosomal RNA", at positions 569 to 1091 of the family's 1831-position model. Lineage: Eukaryota; Fungi; Glomeromycota; Glomeromycetes; Glomerales; Glomeraceae. The record is from RNAcentral.